CCUACGGGAGGCAGCAGUAGGGAAUCUUCCGCAAUGGGCGAAAGCCUGACGGAGCAACGCCGCGUGAGUGAUGAAGGUCUUCGGAUCGUAAAACUCUGUUAUCAGGGAAGAACAAAUGUGUAAGUAACUGUGCACAUCUUGACGGUACCUGAUCAGAAAGCCACGGCUAACUACGUGCCAGCAGCCGCGGUAAUACGUAGGUGGCAAGCGUUAUCCGGAAUUAUUGGGCGUAAAGCGCGCGUAGGCGGUUUUUUAAGUCUGAUGUGAAAGCCCACGGCUCAACCGUGGAGGGUCAUUGGAAACUGGAAAACUUGAGUGCAGAAGAGGAAAGUGGAAUUCCAUGUGUAGCGGUGAAAUGCGCAGAGAUAUGGAGGAACACCAGUGGCGAAGGCGACUUUCUGGUCUGUAACUGACGCUGAUGUGCGAAAGCGUGGGGAUCAAACAGGAUUAGAUACCCUGGUAGUCCACGCCGUAAACGAUGAGUGCUAAGUGUUAGGGGGUUUCCGCCCCUUAGUGCUGCAGCUAACGCAUUAAGCACUCCGCCUGGGGGGUACGACCGCAAGGUUGAAACUCAAAGGAAUUGACGG
Molecule: ribosomal RNA, 587 nt
Filed under: uncultured bacterium
Lineage: Bacteria
Description: bacterial SSU rRNA
Rfam family: Bacterial small subunit ribosomal RNA
Source: RNAcentral